GGGUCUUUCGUUUCUUGGGACUGAAGUUUCCUGGCCACAGACCUCUGUUAGGUCUGUAGGAAAUUUUGCUGGAGGCAGGGAGGGGGCAUGAAAAUAAUUUUUAUUUAUUUUCUCAGGUGGGUGCCUGAACCUGCCUUUCAAAGAGGGUUUUCUUAGACCGUGGCCAGAAGCAGAGUCACAUGCUCAAAUGGUCAGAGCUGGAUGGGACUGUGCAAGUUGUCCAGGCAUAUCAUCCUACAGUUAAACAUCAUCUGGAUCCUGCAAAGCGGACUUGAAAGGCAGCCUGAAAGGGAGAGGCCGGGGCUUCCUGCUUGGGCUGGUUCCGUUGAGAAAGCUCUAGCCACCUGGUAUCUGGCACGGGGACUAAUGUGGAAAAGGAUAACUGGCCUUCCAGGCCGAGAGCCUAAAGGAAAGCUUCAGGAGAAGAUUUGAAUGCAGGAAAGAAACCAGACAGCCUCAAAAAGGACAAUCUCAGUGUUAGCCCUGUCGGUGCAGGAGCAGACUGGUACCUGCCACCUCUGGAGAGGUGUUUUCUUUGGAGACGGCUAAGGCGCCAGCUUAUGCUUGCCUGUGGACCCACUGGAGCCG
Molecule: long non-coding RNA, 588 nt
Filed under: Homo sapiens (human)
Lineage: Eukaryota; Metazoa; Chordata; Mammalia; Primates; Hominidae
Description: non-protein coding lnc-NAT10-5:2
Source: RNAcentral